RNAcentral lists this ribosomal RNA (253 nucleotides) under uncultured bacterium. RNAcentral's name for it is "partial 16S ribosomal RNA". It matches the Rfam family "Bacterial small subunit ribosomal RNA", at positions 524 to 776 of the family's 1533-position model. The record is from RNAcentral.
UACAGAGGGGGCAAGCGUUGUUCGGAAUUACUGGGCGUAAAGGGCGCGUAGGCGGCCUUCUGAGUCGAACGUGAAAUCCCUGGGCUCAACCCAGGAACUGCGUCCGAUACUGGAAGGCUUGAAUCCGGGAGAGGGAUGCGGAAUUCCAGGUGUAGCGGUGAAAUGCGUAGAUAUCGAGAGGAACACCUGCGGCGAAGGCGGGUUGCUGGGCUGACACUGACGCUGAUGUGCGAAAGCUAGGGGAGCGAACGGG